CAAAGUUGGAAAUCAAAGAGAUUCUUUUACAUUUUUUAUUUCCUUUGUUGCUUUAGUAAGAGCUGGCUUCCUCCUUUUCCCUUUUUUCACGUCUUCACACUCACUUUUAUGCAUUGCAUUACCUUGCUGACAAGUUUUCAUAACUUGAAUUCUUGUGUUAGUUUCCCAAGAGUGUUAUUUUCCUUCUCUAAGGUUGAUUUGAGCUUCUACUACUUCUUUGAAUUCGUGAAUGUGUCAGUGUCAGUGCUAGUGUCAUAUAAUAACUACACAUUUUUUGUGGUUGAGAAAUUGAUGCGGGAGAGCUUUGAGUUUUGGUUGCAUUGUUAA
Vicia faba (fava bean) is the source of this 327-nucleotide non-coding RNA. The record is from the annotation of a GenBank genome assembly. NCBI's taxonomy places the organism in Eukaryota, Viridiplantae, Streptophyta, Magnoliopsida, Fabales, Fabaceae.